Molecule: ribosomal RNA, 430 nt
Filed under: Pseudomonadota bacterium
Lineage: Bacteria; Pseudomonadati; Pseudomonadota
Description: Proteobacteria bacterium partial 16S ribosomal RNA
Rfam family: Bacterial small subunit ribosomal RNA
Source: RNAcentral
UGGGGAAUAUUGGACAAUGGGCGAAAGCCUGAUCCAGCCAUGCCGCGUGUGUGAAGAAGGCCUUAUGGUUGUAAAGCACUUUAAGCGAGGAGGAGGGUACUGGUAUUAAUACUACCAGGUACUGGACGUUACUCGCAGACUAAGCACCGGCUAACUCUGUGCCAGCAGCCGCGGUAAUACAGAGGGUGCGAGCGUUAAUCGGAUUUACUGGGCGUAAAGCGUGCGUAGGCGGCUAAUUGAGUCGGAUGUGAAAUCCCCGAGCUUAACUUGGGAAUUGCAUUCGAUACUGGUUAGCUAGAGUGUGGGAGAGGAUGGUAGAAUUCCAGGUGUAGCGGUGAAAUGCGUAGAGAUCUGGAGGAAUACCGAUGGCGAAGGCAGCCAUCUGGCCUAACACUGACGCUGAGGUACGAAAGCAUGGGGAGCAAACAGG